GUGAAUCAUCAAAUUUUUGAACGCAAAUUGCGCCUUUUUCGGUAGGCAUGUCUGUUUGAGGUCACCAUUUAACAAAUAAUGUGCAUCGUUUUUUGUUGCACACUUUGAUUAUCUUUCUAAGAAUUUUAUCUUUUUGGUGUCGCAUAAUGAACAGCGUGAAUGUUUUGUUCAGUUCGAGUGUAUUAAAAUCUUUGCUUUUCUUUUGAAAAAACAUAAUCGCGCAAUGGGUGUGGCAAUUUCUUUUUAUCCCUGCCCCAAUUGCACUCUUUCUCACGGAAGAACGUCUAAUCUUCAGGUCCU
RNAcentral lists this unclassified non-coding RNA (300 nucleotides) under Paraglomerales sp. RNAcentral describes it as "partial contains 5.8S ribosomal RNA and internal transcribed spacer 2". The record is from RNAcentral. Lineage: Eukaryota; Fungi; Glomeromycota; Glomeromycetes; Paraglomerales.